Molecule: ribosomal RNA, 448 nt
Filed under: uncultured bacterium
Lineage: Bacteria
Description: partial 16S ribosomal RNA
Rfam family: Bacterial small subunit ribosomal RNA
Source: RNAcentral
GAGCCAGACUCCUACGGGAGGCAGCAGUGGGGAAUAUUGCACAAUGGGGGAAACCCUGAUGCAGCGACGCCGCGUGAGCGAUGAAGUAUUUCGGUAUGUAAAGCUCUAUCAGCAGGGAAGAAAAUGACGGUACCUGACUAAGAAGCCCCGGCUAACUACGUGCCAGCAGCCGCGGUAAUACGUAGGGGGCAAGCGUUAUCCGGAUUUACUGGGUGUAAAGGGAGCGUAGACGGCUGUGCAAGCCAGAUGUGAAAGCCCGGGGCUCAACCCCGGGACUGCAUUUGGAACUGCGCGGCUGGAGUGCAGGAGGGGCAGGCGGAAUUCCUGGUGUAGCGGUGAAAUGCGUAGAUAUCAGGAGGAACACCGGUGGCGAAGGCGGCCUGCUGGACUGCGACUGACGUUGAGGCCCGAAAGCGUGGGGAGCAAACAGGAUUAGAUACCCCAGUAA